AGUGAACGCUGGCGGUAGGCCUAACACAUGCAAGUCGAACGGCAGCACAGUAAGAGCUUGCUCUUACGGGUGGCGAGUGGCGGACGGGUGAGGAAUACAUCGGAAUCUACUUUUUCGUGGGGGAUAACGUAGGGAAACUUACGCUAAUACCGCAUACGACCUACGGGUGAAAGCAGGGGAUCUUCUGACCUUGCGCGAUUGAAUGAGCCGAUGUCGGAUUAGCUAGUUGGCGGGGUAAAGGCCCACCAAGGCGACGAUCGGUAGCUGGUCUGAGAGGAUGAUCGGCCACACGGGAACUGAGACACGGUCCAGACUCCUACGGGAGGCAGCAGUGGGGAAUAUUGGACAAUGGGCGCAAGCCUGAUCCAGCCAUACCGCGUGGGUGAAGAAGGCCUUCGGGUUGUAAAGCCCUUUUGUUGGGAAAGAAAAGCAGCAGGUUAAUACCCCGCUGUUCUGACGGUACCCAAAGAAUAAGCACCGGCUAACUUCGUG
RNAcentral lists this ribosomal RNA (492 nucleotides) under uncultured bacterium. RNAcentral describes it as "partial 16S ribosomal RNA". It matches the Rfam family "Bacterial small subunit ribosomal RNA", at positions 29 to 507 of the family's 1533-position model. The record is from RNAcentral.